Molecule: ribosomal RNA, 872 nt
Filed under: Arthrobacter sp. EV4
Lineage: Bacteria; Bacillati; Actinomycetota; Actinomycetes; Micrococcales; Micrococcaceae
Description: bacterial SSU rRNA
Rfam family: Bacterial small subunit ribosomal RNA
Source: RNAcentral
AAUAUUGGGCGUAAAGAGCUCGUAGGCGGUUUGUCGCGUCUGCCGUGAAAGUCCGGGGCUCAACUCCGGAUCUGCGGUGGGUACGGGCAGACUAGAGUGAUGUAGGGGAGACUGGAAUUCCUGGUGUAGCGGUGAAAUGCGCAGAUAUCAGGAGGAACACCGAUGGCGAAGGCAGGUCUCUGGGCAUUAACUGACGCUGAGGAGCGAAAGCAUGGGGAGCGAACAGGAUUAGAUACCCUGGUAGUCCAUGCCGUAAACGUUGGGCACUAGGUGUGGGGGACAUUCCACGUUUUCCGCGCCGUAGCUAACGCAUUAAGUGCCCCGCCUGGGGAGUACGGCCGCAAGGCUAAAACUCAAAGGAAUUGACGGGGGCCCGCACAAGCGGCGGAGCAUGCGGAUUAAUUCGAUGCAACGCGAAGAACCUUACCAAGGCUUGACAUGGGCCGGACCGGGCUGGAAACAGUCCUUCCCCUUUGGGGCCGGUUCACAGGUGGUGCAUGGUUGUCGUCAGCUCGUGUCGUGAGAUGUUGGGUUAAGUCCCGCAACGAGCGCAACCCUCGUUCCAUGUUGCCAGCGCGUAAUGGCGGGGACUCAUGGGAGACUGCCGGGGUCAACUCGGAGGAAGGUGGGGAGGACGUCAAAUCAUCAUGCCCCUUAUGUCUUGGGCUUCACGCAUGCUACAAUGGCCGGUACAAAGGGUUGCGAUACUGUGAGGUGGAGCUAAUCCCAAAAAGCCGGUCUCAGUUCGGAUUGGGGUCUGCAACUCGACCCCAUGAAGUCGGAGUCGCUAGUAAUCGCAGAUCAGCAACGCUGCGGUGAAUACGUUCCCGGGCCUUGUACACACCGCCCGUCAAGUCACGAAAGUUGGUAAC